UCUGUGUGGGCGCGUGUUUGGGGUUUCUGUCUGUGGCCCAAGUCCUCUUCUCAUAAAGACAUUAGUCAGUGGAUUGUCGCCCAUUCUGAGGACCCCGCUUUAAUUUAAUUUGCUGUUUAAAGGUUUUCAAACACAAUCACAUUCUGAGGACCCGGGGUUAGGACUUUAACAUAUGCAUUCAGCCCAUAACAUUUUCUCUAGUACAGUGUUUUCUUCUUGGAAGUUCACGAAGUUCAACUGUAUAUGAUUGAUAACCAGAGUCUUAAAAAAUAUUCAGUAUGCAUCUCUCACAUACCCACCAUUUUAUACAUUAUUAUUUUUAAAAAAUAUGUUUUUACUGAUCUCAGAGGGGAAGGGAGAGGGAGAGAGAGCUAGAAACAUCAAUGAUGAGAGAGAAUCACGCCCCGCAUUGGGGAUCAAGCCCCACAACCCAGGCAUGCGCCCUUGACUGGAACUGAACCUGGGACCCUUCAGUCUGCAGGCCAAUGCUCUAUCCACUGAGCCAAACCAGUAGACAUUCUGAUAAUCCUAAACUGUCAUCUUUCAGACACUGGCUGAUAAUAUUGCACUAUCCUGUGGAAAUCCUCUGCCGGCUGGUGCUGGCAGCCAGGACGGGCAGAUGGAUGUGCGAUGGAGGAGACCAAGCACAACCUGGAAUGGAGUGUCUCCCGUCAGAGCCCGUGUUGGUCUCACCACCUCCAGCCCUUGAACUUUAAAGAUUCUUGGGGAGGAAAGAGCGGAGCGGUGGAUGCCACUGGGGUUUGCUAGGCGGCCGGCAAGGAUCCGUCCAGGAAGGUGUGGGCAGGUGGGAGUGGGUCACUGGCCUUGCACAGGCAGCUCGUUCUGCAGUGGCAGCUGAAGAAAGAGCCCCCGCCACACCCUCGCUCCAGGCUCUGGGCUCCAUUCUGAAGAAUUCCUGUGGCUCUGGCCUUGCAAGAAUUUUCAGAGUCAGACCCUACAUUCCCACCCAGUCUUCAGCCGAGAGAAGUCUCACUGCUGCCUCGGCACCUGGGAAGCAGGUGGUUCUGUCUCUUCUUGUGAAGCUCCCAUCACCGAUCAUGUCCAGGUACCCAGAUUUACUGCACUUUCCUCAAGUCCCAAUUCGAGUUCGCUCAGUAGCCUCUGUCAGAACGCUCCCCUUGGUACUAGGCACACGCAGUUCCGCUAACACAGCUCGUACGGUGACCCUAUUCGCUGAACUGCUUUGAGAAAUGUACUAAACUAAAACUGGCACAUAAAUGUGAGAGGAGGUAUUGCUGCCACUCUCUCCCGGGUGGCCUUGAUCUGUGACCUUCCCUUUCUCAUCUCUGCCUCAGGCAGAUCGCCCCCUGCACCUCUCAGAAAGUGUUUGCAUUUUAAGCCCACCUCCCUUAAAAUCUUAAACAUAUCUUUUCUUUAUUUUAAGAACAAAAUAAUACAUUUAGGAACAUGUCAAUUUAACUUGGAGUCUUAAAAUAAGUGCAAAAUUGUGAGGUUGUCACGGUCGUGUUUAUUAAGUAGAAUUUGGCGUUCUUGUUCCAUGGUAUUAAUAAAGGACGAGCGAAAUACUUUGUAUUUCCUUAAGAUGCAGUUUGCAAAGAGAUUUUCUUCUUUGGUCCUUAAGUAUCUCUAUGAAGAUGAGGCAAGUUGGUCUUCUACAGAAGAGGACCCAGGCUCCGAGGGGGCAAAGGACUUGGGUGGUGCUGCAGCUGAUAUGGAGACCGGAGGUCCUUAGAGCUCAGAUCUGUGCCCUGUGACUGUAUCACAUACUAGAUUUAUCUCCCUUUUAUCCAGAGGGGUCCUGUCUUCUCCUGUGGUUCAUGUGCUGCAAUGAAAGAAAACCUCAUUUUCCAUGUAGUUCUGUCCCAAGUAGAUCCUGGAAAAGGAUCUGGGGUGUAUCCAAGGCGGCCCUUGAGAUAAACUUAACCU
Molecule: long non-coding RNA, 1908 nt
Organism: Myotis daubentonii (Daubenton's bat)
Lineage: Eukaryota; Metazoa; Chordata; Mammalia; Chiroptera; Vespertilionidae
Source: RefSeq, a predicted model, not a curated record